GGUGGCUCAGUGGUAGAGCAUUUGCCUUGCAUGCAUGAGGCCUUGGGUUUGAUUCCUCAGCACCA
Molecule: non-coding RNA, 65 nt
Organism: Dipodomys ordii (Ord's kangaroo rat)
Lineage: Eukaryota; Metazoa; Chordata; Mammalia; Rodentia; Heteromyidae
Source: Rfam